AGAGUUUGAUUAUGGCUCAGAAUGAACGCUGGCGGCGCGCCUAACACAUGCAAGUCGAGCGAGGCCACGGCUUCGGCCGUGAGUCGAGCGGCGAACGGGUGAGUAACGCGUGGGUAACGUACCCGGGAGUGGGGGAUAGCUCCGGGAAACUGGAGGUAAUACCGCAUACGCUCACUUCACCGCAUGGUGGAGUGAGGAAAGGUUGGGACCCUUCGGGGCCAGCCGCUCCCGGAUCGGCCUGCGUCCGAUUAGCUAGUUGGUAGGGUAACGGCCUACCAAGGCUACGAUCGGUAGCCGGCCUGAGAGGGUGACCGGCCACAUUGGGACUGAGACACGGCCCAGACUCCUACGGGAGGCAGCAGUGGGGAAUCUUGGGCAAUGGGCGAAAGCCUGACCCAGCGACGCCGCGUGGGGGAUGAAGGCCUUCGGGUUGUAAACCCCUGUCAGGGGGGACGAAAGCCUCUCGGUGAAUAGCCGGGGGGGUCUGACGGUACCCCCAAAGGAAGCCCCGGCU
Molecule: ribosomal RNA, 514 nt
Filed under: uncultured bacterium
Lineage: Bacteria
Description: bacterial SSU rRNA
Rfam family: Bacterial small subunit ribosomal RNA
Source: RNAcentral